GUGGGGAAUUUUGCGCAAUGGGCGAAAGCCUGACGCAGCAACGCCGCGUGUGUGACGAAGGCCCUAGGGUUGUAAAGCACUGUGGGAAGGGAAGAAAAAACGGGGGUUGUACCCCGUCUUGACGGUACCUUGUUAGAAAGCACCGGCUAACUCCGUGCCAGCAGCCGCGGUAAUACGGAGGGUGCAAGCGUUGUUCGGAAUUAUUGGGCGUAAAGGGCGUGUAGGUGGCUGUACAAGUCUGGUGUGAAAGCCCACGGCUCAACCGUGGAACUGCAUUGGAAACUGUACAGCUCGAGUGUUGGAGGGGGUCGCGGAAUUCCCGGUGUAGAGGUGAAAUUCGUAGAUAUCGGGAGGAACACCAGUGGCGAAGGCGGCGACCUGGCCAAUUACUGACACUGAGACGCGAAAGCGUGGGGAGCAAACAGGAUUAGAUACCCCUGUAGUCC
RNAcentral lists this ribosomal RNA (446 nucleotides) under uncultured bacterium. RNAcentral describes it as "bacterial SSU rRNA". It matches the Rfam family "Bacterial small subunit ribosomal RNA", at positions 354 to 796 of the family's 1533-position model. The record is from RNAcentral.